ACGAGCUGUCUGUCCAAGCAUAUUGUCUCGGAGCUUGCAAUGCACGUACGUGCGCACGCUUCUGUCCAGUACAGUGCAUGGGAUGAACAGAACUACAGGAGAGCGAUAAGGUGGAGAACUGUGGUACCGGAUAAGAAUGUACAGGGAGACAGUAGGGAACUGAACAAGUGUGCAGCUGAUAAGACGGGGUUGAUGCCACGGCCGGCUCGUUCUGUAUGGCUGUUGCAUGCAUCCUCCGCGCAAGCAGUACUGCUGGGGUCGCCAGAAAAUUCUCUCCAUCUGGAGAAGAAUCUUCAACGCUGCCGCCCACUGAUCGAUCGUAUACCGUGUACUGUUUGUGCACAGCUAUAUAUGUAACACCUUGGAACCCGGAACUUCUGGAUCCGCUGGUGAAAAGGUGAGCAUAAGUCACUUUUGAUGACACAAAAUUAAAACAAACAACAUUUAAAGUCUGAACUCAAGAUAUCCUUUUAAAAUAAUAUGUGUUACGGCGGCCGGAGGCGAGGGAACCGUAAAUUUUCAGGCGCUCCUGGAAACCUAGUUUCUCUUCGAUUGCAAUCUCAACAGAAGAAGUAUUUUUUUUUUUUUUGAGAAUAACAGAAAAGGUAUACGAUACGUUCCAGUGUGCGAGUUGUGGGAAAACAAGAAUAUAGCAGAAGUAUCCAGGGAUCUAGCUCUUGCCCAGCUAGUGGCCGGGGGGGCGUGAUUAAGGCCCGGAAACGUGAUUAGCAUCGGUGCUAGUGACCUCGUGCCUGGGAGCUGAGUACCAGAUUACAAGCUAAUGCCAGUAGAUUAAAGAAGACUUAAGCGGGUGAUUAAUUUGGGCAAGUCGAAGACACACGCGUCGGGUCCGACCAGGCGCGAUGGGAUCCGUCGCGGCGCGGUCGUGACACUUGGUGGCGCUCCUUGAUCCCGCGCGAGGAUCGUCGGGAUCCGAUCGAUCUGCCGGCUACAGCUAGCCUAUGGGAGUUUCGCAACUUGAAUGGUUUAGUAAUAUAGCGGACUGCCUUUUUAGGAGACGAACUGGAGUUCGCAAGGCAAAUGCAUUUGGGGUUUUGGAUCCCUGCGCAAAAAUCUCGAUGGCUAUAAAAGUCUACCCAUGAUAAAAACGAUACCUGUUUAAUCUUUUUGUUAGUGAAAAUCGAGGCUUACGUACACAUGCAAACCCACAGCUCCUGCCCAACGAAAGGCCCAGAAUUGUGUUACGUACACUGAGCUUAUAUUUAUUUAUAAGCUAAUCUAUUGUGUG
RNAcentral lists this long non-coding RNA (1249 nucleotides) under Brachypodium distachyon (stiff brome). Its description in RNAcentral is "long non-coding RNA (BDIS_LNC005135)". Lineage: Eukaryota; Viridiplantae; Streptophyta; Magnoliopsida; Poales; Poaceae. The record is from RNAcentral.